UUUGCUCUACCAGUCUCUGUGCUGGUGGGAGAGGAGGAGACGACUAAGUGUGAGCGAUGUUGUUUCCCCCUCCCUCUCUCUCUCUCUCUCUCUCUCGCUCCUUCUCCUUCACUAUCACGGCCAUCAGGACCCGUCCUCCCUCCUUCCCCCUCUCUCUCCCUCUCUCUCUCUCUCUCGUUCUGCCUGGUUAUGCAAUGCACGGUGCUCCCGCGGUGACUGACUGGUGCUGGAGACCUACAGUGGCGCCGCUGUCACUGGUGGCGGCUGCAGAUCGGUAGUGUCAGGGUGACGGCGGCGCUCCCCCGCAGACGUCCGCUCCGUGGGAUUUUCACGGCUCGUCCUGCCCCUCCGGAUUAUCCGCCGCCGCGCUCCGCCGGUUCGGGGACCAGGCAGCGCUCGCCUCGCCGGGUAGAGAGCGGGCUGUCGCCAGUCGGCUGCUGCACAGCGUUGAUGUGGAAGCUCCACUGGUGGGGAGGGCUUUUCUAUUUAUUUUUUUGGCGAGGCACUAAUUGCAUUGUUUUUUUCCAAGAGGAGAGCGGUGGGGGCGUAGAUUCACGGGGGCGGAGGAGUUGCGUGGAGGAGUUGAGGCGAAGCGGGGAACUCGCGAGCGGGGAUGGGAGGAACGGUGAGGAGGCGAGAGGGAGCAAAUGAGGAGAGCGUUCCGUCUCUCCCCCUCAACAGAGACCGCUGGCACUUUAGCAGCUGGGAU
This is a long non-coding RNA of Salarias fasciatus (jewelled blenny), 709 nucleotides long. RefSeq lists it as uncharacterized. Lineage: Eukaryota; Metazoa; Chordata; Actinopteri; Blenniiformes; Blenniidae. The record is from RefSeq and is a predicted model, not a curated record. The transcript is spliced from 3 exons.